CUCCUGUUUCUGGAUCUUACUUUCUGGAGGCCGGUGAUAAGAGUUCUCACAGAUUAAAGAACAAGGAGAUGGCUGGCUAUUUAAGAAGGAAAGGCAGAGGCUGCAGAAAUUGAGCCUAACGGCUUAUCAGAUGGGAUGGAUAAUUCUUUAAGUUUAAAAGAACUACUCAUUUUCCCCAACAUCUGUCUUUGCCAUCUUCCUAUCUAAGGAACCUUUCACUUUUUAGCUGGGGACAUAGCUUUCUGGUAUGAGAACUACACUGCUCAAACUUCCAAUCAGCUUGUAUGCACUUGGUGAAUCUUACCUACCACAAACAGAAGUCUGGAAAGUGAAAAUUUAUUUCCUUUUCACCAUGACCAGCCUUGUUCAGAACAUCUGAGAGGCACAGACCUGAGAAAGAAUCCCCAGGCUGAAGAGGUAGAAGUUGGCAGAAGUUAAAAGCAAUGUCUCCACAAUGGAGAAGUGACAUGCUAAAGGAACCUGGCAUCUAGACAUUUCCUAACCCCCAAUCCCUCCUUACAUAUGACCUGCUCUUAGAGGAGUACAGCGUGGUGGUUAGGAGUGUGGACUCGGCAGCCAGAAAUCCUGGGAUCUGUUGCUUGUUAGCUGUGGGCCUUAAGCUAAGAACUUAACCUCUCUGUGCCUCAGUUGCUCCAUCUGUUCAAAUGAAGAUAAUGAUAAUGAAGAUGAUAUCACCUGCUGUGUAGGAUUGUUAUGAAAAAUCAAGAAUUAAUAUUUGUAAAUCACUUACAGGGUCUGGCACAUAAUAAGUGCUGUGUGGGUGUUUGUUA
Molecule: long non-coding RNA, 791 nt
Filed under: Homo sapiens (human)
Lineage: Eukaryota; Metazoa; Chordata; Mammalia; Primates; Hominidae
Description: non-protein coding lnc-NUTM1-11:7
Source: RNAcentral